UUUAACCUGGGAAGGUACUAAAUUAACCCAGACAGGCAUGAUAAACACAAUCAAGUUUUUUGUUCUGUCUCCGGAUAAUAGAAUGAAGUGUAUGGAUCAAAGGUAAAAGCUUCACAUCUUUCUGCACUGGCUGACCGUCACUGAGGAUAUAUUUUGAGAAUUUGUCUGUUCAUGGCUUUCCUUAUAUAUUUCCAUAUGGUUCUGCUUUCUGAAAACAGAUGACAAGAAAUAAGAUGGAGAUAAAAAUAGGAGAUGAGUGCCAACAGUGAAGAGGAAGCAGUAGAGGCAGACAUGGAGCUGAAGAUCAUUCCUCUAAAUUGGUGUCUAUUUUAAUCGACUUGCUGAAUUCCUCACUGAAUUUGCUUUUCUUGGUAUUGAGUUUUGCUUAUCGCUUCUGACAUGGAAAGGAAGAAAUGUAAUCUUACGUGAAAUGUUCAGUCUUCUCCUGAAUAGACAGGCCAAAUUGCUGAAAUCAGAAGACAAGAAGACAUGACAUGAAUGUAUAACCAGUUUUUAUUGCCAGCAUUUACAUCUGGUGGAGGUGCCUGUGGGUGGUCAAUUUGCAAGAGGGCCAACAUAGGAACCCUAUUGGAACCUUCCAUCUCAUACGCUGUGAGGUUUUCCAUUCCUGAACUUCAUUCAAAAGAACUGCGCAGCAGGAAGAAAGAAGAAAUUUUAAUUUACCUUUCUAACAGAUCCUGAGUGCCAGCUACAGAACAACAGGUGCAAUGGCACUUUCAAUUUAUCAUGAUCUAUGUCAACCUGCCAAAGUGGCCUUAGUGCACCAUUCUAAAGUUAUGUGUCUUUUCCUUGCAAGGUAUGUGGGCUGCCCCUGGUGUUUUCCCUAUUCAAACAACAUUUUUCUUUUUUGUGGAUAAAUUUUUACAAUAACAAAAUAUGCUACCCCUUUGCAGAAUUCAA
This is a long non-coding RNA of Motacilla alba alba, 921 nucleotides long. RefSeq lists it as uncharacterized. The transcript has 4 exons. Lineage: Eukaryota; Metazoa; Chordata; Aves; Passeriformes; Motacillidae. The record is from RefSeq and is a predicted model, not a curated record.